Juglans microcarpa x Juglans regia is the source of this 569-nucleotide long non-coding RNA. RefSeq lists it as uncharacterized. The record is from RefSeq and is a predicted model, not a curated record. The transcript has 2 exons. NCBI's taxonomy places the organism in Eukaryota, Viridiplantae, Streptophyta, Magnoliopsida, Fagales, Juglandaceae.
AAUCCAAUGCUUAGUUGUCAUGAGAUUUUAGAUGGGAAGGUAAAUGAAUCUCUGUACAGUUUGUGCCUCUGAUUUUCUGUGGAUUGACUUUGAUGUUCUAUAACUUGUAUUGACUUUGAACUAAAUCUUCAUAUUAUGCUAUAUGUUUUUAUAGCCUGGUAAAUACGUGUGGCAAACUUAUAAAGAAGUGUAUGAAUUGGUAAUUAAAGUGGGAAAUGCUAUGCGAAGUUGUGGCUUUGGGGAUCAGAAGAACCCUUGGGCUGAAAGUUGGCAUCAGAAGAACCCCACAUGUGGCAUUCCUUGGCAAUCUUGGAUCAGGCGGUGGAGGUCGACUCGAUUAUGGAGUUCAUGUUGUAUCUGUUGAGCUCAUCUUCUCUGUUUGAUGAAGUUUUGGGGUCUGAACCGGAGUCCCCCAUUUGGUUAUCUGCACUACCUCCCCGAUGCCGUUUUAUUCAAGACAGGUUAGUACGUUUUUUUCCAUAAUUUUCAUUAAUCCUUAAUGGUUCCUUAAUUAAACAAACAAUUAGGUUGAUUAUUAAUCAUAAUCAAAUAAUUUAUUUAUUCAACUA